CUUUUUGAAAUUCUUGUUCUAUGCCCAAAUUAAAAAUUAUAAACAUUCCUAGCCAUGAACAAGUGCUUGAUUGACAAAGCUGUAUCAUUCUAUUGGUAUUAGAUUAUGACUUGUAAAAGGACAUUC
This is a small nucleolar RNA of Suncus etruscus (white-toothed pygmy shrew), 126 nucleotides long. RefSeq annotates it as small nucleolar RNA SNORA24. The transcript has a single exon. Lineage: Eukaryota; Metazoa; Chordata; Mammalia; Eulipotyphla; Soricidae. The record is from RefSeq and is a predicted model, not a curated record.